RNAcentral lists this ribosomal RNA (253 nucleotides) under uncultured bacterium. RNAcentral describes it as "partial 16S ribosomal RNA". It matches the Rfam family "Bacterial small subunit ribosomal RNA", at positions 524 to 776 of the family's 1533-position model. The record is from RNAcentral.
UACAGAGGUCUCAAGCGUUGUUCGGAUUUACUGGGCGUAAAGGGCGCGUAGGCGGCGUGACAAGUCACUUGUGAAAUCUCCGGGCUUAACUCGGAACGGUCAAGUGAUACUGUCGUGCUAGAGUACAGAAGGGGCAACUGGAAUUCACGGUGUAGCGGUGAAAUGCGUAGAUAUCGAGAGGAACACCUGCGGCGAAGGCGGGUUGCUGGGCUGAUACUGACGCUGAGGCGCGAAAGCCAGGGGAGCGAACGGG